UGGGGAGUCGCCAAGUGGUAAGGCACCGGGUUUUGGUCUCGGCAUUCGCAGGUUCGAAUCCUGCCUCCCCAGCCA
Molecule: transfer RNA, 75 nt
Filed under: Candidatus Sumerlaeota bacterium
Lineage: Bacteria; Candidatus Sumerlaeota
Description: tRNA-Gln
Rfam family: tRNA
About the family: Transfer RNA (tRNA) molecules are approximately 80 nucleotides in length. Their secondary structure includes four short double-helical elements and three loops (D, anti-codon, and T loops).
Source: RNAcentral